This is a long non-coding RNA of Gasterosteus aculeatus aculeatus (three-spined stickleback), 364 nucleotides long. Lineage: Eukaryota; Metazoa; Chordata; Actinopteri; Perciformes; Gasterosteidae. The record is from Ensembl.
UGGGCCUGGUGUGCAUGUGUGCAGCUAAGUGCCGGCUAAUUUCCCCUUGGAUCUCCCGGCCGGAGCCUAGGAUUUCUCCCCCAACAACGCCACCCCACAAACACCACUGCCUCGGUCCCCUGUCCAUGUGAAGAGGAGAUGGGAAAGGGGCAGAUUUGGCAGCGAUGGGCGAACAGGAGCUCCUUCCAUAUAAUGAGAAUCCACUACGAAAAAGACACUGUGCAGUGCUCCGUUUCCAGGGAACAUAACAUGGGACCGCACUCUAGCAGCAGAACUUCUACGCGGGGCCUGGGUCUUCGGCAGCGGGGCCUGGGUCUUCGGCAGCGGGGCCUGGGUGUCCGGCAGCGGGGCCUGGGUCUCCGGC